CUGACCUCAAAUCAGGU
This 17-nucleotide ribosomal RNA is filed under the name Phlebia radiata. RNAcentral describes it as "partial 28S ribosomal RNA". The record is from RNAcentral. Lineage: Eukaryota; Fungi; Basidiomycota; Agaricomycetes; Polyporales; Meruliaceae. RNAcentral also lists the same sequence under 2 other names.